AAAAAUGCUAUAUAAUAAUUGAUUGUAAAUAGAUAGGGUGAGAUAAAAAAAAAUAUAAAACUCUUUACUUGCUCUUUGAGCGUGUGAAACAUACUUUCUAAUAAAAUGGUGACGUGUGACAUGUGCGGACCCAAACAAAUUUUAUUCAACAUGUUGAAUAGAUUCAACACCCUAAAAUCCACGUAGGUUUUUUUCAUUUUUUAACACCCACAUUACAUUGAUUAAACAGUUGAAUAAUUUAUUCAACACCUCCAUUACAAGUAGUCUAACAACGAAUGAUUAUUACUAUAUUUAUAUUUUACUAUAUACCUUAAGACCUUAACAAUACUCUUUUUUCUCUAAUAUUUUUCUUUUCUUACAUAGUAAUUUAGAUUAAUACCCUAUAAUCUAACUAUGCGGAGAUGGACAUCCACAUGUCACUUCCUUCUUUCUUCUGCUCUUAUUCUUAUUUCUCCUCCUUCUUCUUUUUUUCUCCGAGACUUUAUUGCUUAUUUUUUUCUUCAAAAUAGAUUUAAAAGUAAAUUAUAUAUUAGUGACAACAAUAAAAAUAUUAAAAAUAAUAAUAUUGAUGAAUGGACGUCUAGACCUACCUUUUAACUCCUUGAUCUCUUCAACCGCUCCUUGUAUUACAAUGGCUUGCCUACAUCUUUCCAUACCUCUUUGACCGUCUCCUUCUUUGGUAGACGAGACCUAAUAAACUUGUAAGUUGAUUUGAUCAUGAUCUUAAUUCUUUCUUUCUUACCUGAUUGUGUUUUUGAAUGUGUAAACUUAGUGAUUUUAGCACCUCGUUUAUAACUUAAUUUUUGGCUCCUUACGGCAAACUUCAAAUCAAAGUUCUAUGCAUUCUAUUUUUUUGCAUUGUUUAACCACGUCAACACGUUUUUCAAUUAAAAAGAAUUACAGCGUAAGUUCUUUAUUAAAAUUAAAUAAAAAUAAUUACAGCUUAAGUUCUCACUUUACCAAUUCCCUACUUACUUUACUUUAUUCAGUUUCAUUAACUUAAUAUAUAUAAUUUUAGACGUAUUUUCCAAGAAAUAUAUCAGAUAUUAGCAAAAGAAAAAUCAACAGAAAAAAGUAAAAA
Molecule: small RNA, 1081 nt
Filed under: Arabidopsis thaliana (thale cress)
Lineage: Eukaryota; Viridiplantae; Streptophyta; Magnoliopsida; Brassicales; Brassicaceae
Description: ATSL298020
Source: RNAcentral